CGAGGUGGGCGGGACGGGUGAGUAAUGUCUAGGGAAACUGCCGAUGGAGGGGGAUAACUACUGGAAACGGUAGCUAAUACCGCAUAACGUCGCAAGACCAAAGAGGGGACCUUCGGGCCUCUUGCCAUCGGAUGUGCCCAGAUGGGAUUAGCUAGUAGGUGGGGUAACGGCUCACCUAGGCGACGAUCCCUAGCUGGUCUGAGAGGAUGACCAGCCACACUGGAACUGAGACACGGUCCAG
Molecule: ribosomal RNA, 241 nt
Filed under: uncultured bacterium
Lineage: Bacteria
Description: partial 16S ribosomal RNA
Rfam family: Bacterial small subunit ribosomal RNA
Source: RNAcentral